RNAcentral lists this unclassified non-coding RNA (299 nucleotides) under sea anemone metagenome. RNAcentral's name for it is "partial contains small subunit ribosomal RNA and internal transcribed spacer 1". The stretch from base 1 to 158 matches the Rfam family "Eukaryotic small subunit ribosomal RNA", at positions 1678 to 1831 of the family's 1831-position model. The record is from RNAcentral.
GCUACUACCGAUUGAAUGGUUUAGUGAGGACUCCUGAUUGGCGCCGCCGCCCCGGCAACGGAGCAGCGGACUGCCGAAAAGUUGUUCAAACUUGAUCAUUUAGAGGAAGUAAAGGUCGUAACAAGGUUUCCGUAGGUGAACCUGCAGAAGGAUCAUUCCGCAUCGCUCCUACCGAUUUCGAGUGUUCAGGUGAACCUUCUGGACUGAGUCGCAAGACCCGGGAAGUUAGGUAAAUCUUAACACUUAGAGGAAGGAGAAGUCGUAACAAGGUUUCCGUAGGUGAACCUGCAGAAGGAUCA